CUCCUGACCUCAGGUGAUCUGCCUGGCUCAGUCUCCCAGAGUGCUGUGAUUACAGGCGUGAGCCACCACGCCCAGCCUUUUUCUAGAUUUUUGAGUUAAAUACUCAGUUCAGUUAUUUUUCAAUCUUGUUUUCUUCUUUUUCUUUUUCUUUUUUUUUUUAGAGACAGAGUUUUGCUCUAUUGCCCCAGCUGGAGGGUAGUGGCACGACCUUGCUCACUGCAGCUCACUGCAACCUGCAGCCUCCACCUUCUGGCUUCAAGUGAUUCUUGAGCCUCAGCCUGCUGAGUAGUUGGGACUACAGGCGUGUGCCACCAUGCCCAGCUAAUUUUUGUUAUUUUUAGUAGAAACGGGAUUUUGCCAUGUUGGCCAAGCUGGUCUCGAACUCCUGGCCUCAAGUGAUCCACCCACCUCGGCGUCCCAAAGUGCUGGGAUUACAGGUAUAAGCCACCAUGCCUGGCCAAUCAUGUUUUCUGAUAAAAAUAUUUUGAGGAAUGGUAUGUAACCUCCAAAGGUGCCAGCUUUGAAAGAUAACAGUCAUUUGAAUGUUCUUGUUUUUAGUUUUAGAAAAUAAUUUUUAUGGCUGAGGCCGGCAGAUCACGAGGUGAUCACGAGGUGAUUUAGUGAAACCCCGUCUCUACUACAAAUACA
RNAcentral lists this long non-coding RNA (648 nucleotides) under Homo sapiens (human). RNAcentral describes it as "non-protein coding lnc-FAM83F-5:1". The record is from RNAcentral. Lineage: Eukaryota; Metazoa; Chordata; Mammalia; Primates; Hominidae.